RNAcentral lists this ribosomal RNA (464 nucleotides) under uncultured bacterium. RNAcentral's name for it is "bacterial SSU rRNA". It matches the Rfam family "Bacterial small subunit ribosomal RNA", at positions 338 to 795 of the family's 1533-position model. The record is from RNAcentral.
CCUACGGGGUGCAGCAGUGGGGAAUAUUGCACAAUGGGCGCAAGCCUGAUGCAGCCAUGCCGCGUGUAUGAAGAAGGCCUUCGGGUUGUAAAGUACUUUCAGCGGGGAGGAAGGUGUUGUGGUUAAUAACCACAGCAAUUGACGUUACCCGCAGAAGAAGCACCGGCUAACUCCGUGCCAGCAGCCGCGGUAAUACGGAGGGUGCAAGCGUUAAUCGGAAUUACUGGGCGCAAUCGCACGCAGGCGGUCUGUCAAGUCGGAUGUGAAAUCCCCGGGCUCAACCUGGGAACUGCAUUCAAAACUGGCAGGCUAGAGUCUUGUAGAGGGGGGUAGAAUUCCAGGUGUAGCGGCGAAAUGCGUAGAGAUCUGGAGGAAUACCGGUGGCGAAGGCGGCCCCCUGGACGAAGACUGACGCUCAGGUGCGAAAGCGUGGGGCGCAAACAGGAUUAGAUACCCGGGUAGUC